RNAcentral lists this ribosomal RNA (742 nucleotides) under Staphylococcus aureus. Its description in RNAcentral is "bacterial SSU rRNA". It matches the Rfam family "Bacterial small subunit ribosomal RNA", at positions 18 to 742 of the family's 1533-position model. The record is from RNAcentral. Lineage: Bacteria; Bacillati; Bacillota; Bacilli; Caryophanales; Staphylococcaceae.
CCUGGCUCAGGAUGAACGCUGGCGGCGUGCCUAAUACAUGCAAGUCGAGCGAACGGACGAGAAGCUUGCUUCUCUGAUGUUAGCGGCGGACGGGUGAGUAACACGUGGAUAACCUACCUAUAAGACUGGGAUAACUUCGGGAAACCGGAGCUAAUACCGGAUAAUAUUUUGAACCGCAUGGUUCAAAAGUGAAAGACGGUCUUGCUGUCACUUAUAGAUGGAUCCGCGCUGCAUUAGCUAGUUGGUAAGGUAACGGCUUACCAAGGCAACGAUGCAUAGCCGACCUGAGAGGGUGAUCGGCCACACUGGAACUGAGACACGGUCCAGACUCCUACGGGAGGCAGCAGUAGGGAAUCUUCCGCAAUGGGCGAAAGCCUGACGGAGCAACGCCGCGUGAGUGAUGAAGGUCUUCGGAUCGUAAAACUCUGUUAUUAGGGAAGAACAUAUGUGUAAGUAACUGUGCACAUCUUGACGGUACCUAAUCAGAAAGCCACGGCUAACUACGUGCCAGCAGCCGCGGUAAUACGUAGGUGGCAAGCGUUAUCCGGAAUUAUUGGGCGUAAAGCGCGCGUAGGCGGUUUUUUAAGUCUGAUGUGAAAGCCCACGGCUCAACCGUGGAGGGUCAUUGGAAACUGGAAAACUUGAGUGCAGAAGAGGAAAGUGGAAUUCCAUGUGUAGCGGUGAAAUGCGCAGAGAUAUGGAGGAACACCAGUGGCGAAGGCGACUUUCUGGUCUGUAACUG